This 625-nucleotide long non-coding RNA is filed under the name Hordeum vulgare. Its description in RNAcentral is "long non-coding RNA (HVUL_LNC004438)". The record is from RNAcentral. Lineage: Eukaryota; Viridiplantae; Streptophyta; Magnoliopsida; Poales; Poaceae.
UAUUGAGACGGCUCGUAGGUUCAAUGUCAUUGCUCUCUCUUCCGCCACACUUUUCGAUGGUCACUGCCUCUCUUACGCCACACUUUUCGAUGGUCACUGCCUCUCUUACGCCACACUUUUCGAUGGUCACUGCCUCUCUUACGCCACACUUUUGGGUUGAAUGCGUCUCCACUUCCACCACGGUCAUCUCCUUUCGAGAGUCUAUUUGAUCGUUUCCAGAUUAUUCAGCGCUUCAAUUGUUUGGUUGUGUUUGAUGUGCCCUUACUACCUAUCGUGAAUGUACCAAACUUACUACUUAGUUUGUUGAGUGUUCAUAGGAUACAACAAUGAGCAUAAGAGAUACUGUCGUUAGGAUCAUGUUGGUCAUUGGGUGACUAUUUCUCACGGUAUGACUUUUAUUGAGUCUCGACCUUUCUACGUGUGACCAUCAUGCCCAACCAUUUCAAUGGAGGAUGUGUUGCCUCACUUUUCCCGACACUCCUAUCACUAUUGUUGAGCCCUAAUCCAUUCCUCGUACUGCUCCUGGUUCUCCAAUUAUUACAAAUUCAACACCAUCAUCUCCUAUGAUUUCCUCACUUCGCUUAUCACGGGGAUUCUAAACUUUCAUCACCGGUGACUUGUCUCC